UGGGGAAUUUGGACAAUGGGCGAAGCUGAUCCAGCAAUGCCGCGUGUGUGAAGAAGGCCUUCGGGUUGUAAAGCACUUUUGUCCGGAAAGAAAUCCUUGGCUCUAAUACAGUCGGGGGAUGACGGUACCGGAAGAAUAAGCACCGGCUAACUACGUGCCAGCAGCCGCGGUAAUACGUAGGGUGCAAGCGUUAAUCGGAAUUACUGGGCGUAAAGCGUGCGCAGGCGGUUUGCUAAGACCGAUGUGAAAUCCCCGGGCUCAACCUGGGAACUGCAUUGGUGACUGGCAGGCUAGAGUAUGGCAGAGGGGGGUAGAAUUCCACGUGUAGCAGUGAAAUGCGUAGAGAUGUGGAGGAAUACCGAUGGCGAAGGCAGCCCCCUGGGCCAAAUACUGACGCUCAUGCACGAAAAGCGUGGGGGAGCAAAACAGGAUUAGAUACCCUGGUAGUCCACGCCCUAAAACGAUGUCAACUAGUUGUUGGGGAUUUAUUUCCUUAGUAACGUAGCUAACGCGUGAAGUUGACCGCCU
Molecule: ribosomal RNA, 528 nt
Filed under: uncultured bacterium
Lineage: Bacteria
Description: partial 16S ribosomal RNA
Rfam family: Bacterial small subunit ribosomal RNA
Source: RNAcentral